GAAGUGGGAGGAGUGAGAGGUGGGGAAGGGGGACGCCAAAGAUGACUUUCAGGCUCCGGAAACCUACGUCUUUCAGCCUCCGCUGUUUUUGAGUUGCAAAUGAUCAGAGACGGGUGAACUGCAGGCAGCCUGUGUUGCUGCCUGGAAGUAGAUUUCCAUCUUUCAGACACUAGUUCCAAUGGGCCGGGUGUUCUGGAAGGGGGUGGCAGUGGGGAGGAGGAUGCUGUGAGCAGAGUUCUUGAAGCUCCACUCCUCUGGGGAAGCCGAGCUGUGUGGGAGCCUUCUUACUGUGCUGGGAGCGUGUGAAUUGGAAAGAUCCUGAGAGCUGGCUAGUCCCAGUUCCUCUCCGGAAAAGCAGUGGCUCUCGCUUCAGAGAUGCGCCCAGCUUUCGCCUGCAUCACACUGCAUUCUUUAACACAUUAUUGAAAUUACAAGCACCCAAAGCAGUUUCAUGUGGACAGAUUGCAUAUUUUGAAAGCCUGAGGUAUUUUAUCAUGAAACAUGCCAUGUGGAAUCUUUGAAGCAUAGACCUCUGCGCAACACCUGAAUAAAGAAUCUUUUACCUGGUAUGUGACAGAGCUUCUCACCACCACCAUGACAAACCAGGAAAAAUGGGCCCACCUCAGCCCUUCGGAAUUUUCCCAACUUCAGAAAUAUGCUGAGUAUUCUACAAAGAAAUUAAAGGAUGUUCUUGAAGAAUUCCAUGGUAAUGGUGUGCUUGCAAAGUAUAAUCCUGAAGGGACAAUAGAUUUUGAAGGUUUCAAACUAUUCAUGAAGACAUUCCUGGAAGCCGAGCUUCCUGAUGAUUUCACUGCACACCUUUUCAUGUCAUUUAGCAACAAGUUUCCUCAUUCUAGUCCAAUGGUAAAAAGUAAGCCUGCUCUCCUAUCAGGCGGUCUGAGAAUGAAUAAAGGUGCCAUCACCCCUCCCCGGACUACUUCUCCUGCAAACACGUGUUCCCCAGAAGUAAUCCACCUGAAGGACAUUGUCUGUUACCUGUCUCUGCUUGAAAGAGGAAGACCUGAGGAUAAGCUUGAGUUUAUGUUUCGCCUUUAUGACACGGAUGGGAAUGGCUUCCUGGACAGCUCGGAGCUGGAAAAUAUCAUCGGUCAGAUGAUGCAUGUUGCAGAAUACCUUGAGUGGGAUGUCACUGAACUUAAUCCAAUCCUCCAUGAAAUGAUGGAAGAAAUUGACUAUGAUCAUGAUGGAACCGUGUCUCUGGAGGAAUGGAUUCAAGGAGGAAUGACAACGAUUCCACUUCUUGUGCUCCUGGGCUUAGAAAAUAACGUGAAGGAUGAUGGACAGCACGUGUGGCGACUGAAGCACUUUAACAAACCUGCCUAUUGCAACCUUUGCCUGAACAUGCUGAUUGGCGUGGGGAAGCAGGGCCUCUGCUGUUCCUUCUGCAAGUACACAGUCCAUGAGCGCUGUGUGGCUCGAGCACCUCCCUCUUGCAUCAAGACCUAUGUGAAGUCCAAAAGGAACACUGAUGUCAUGCACCAUUACUGGGUUGAAGGUAACUGCCCAACCAAGUGUGAUAAGUGCCACAAAACAGUUAAAUGUUACCAGGGCCUGACAGGACUGCAUUGUGUUUGGUGUCAGAUCACACUGCAUAAUAAAUGUGCUUCUCAUCUAAAACCUGAAUGUGACUGUGGACCUUUGAAGGACCAUAUUUUACCACCCACAACAAUCUGUCCGGUGGUACUGACUCUGCCCACUUCAGGAGUUUCAGUUCCUGAGGAAAGACAAUCAACAGUGAAAAAGGAAAAGAGUGGUUCCCAGCAGCCAAACAAAUUGAUCGACAAGAAUAAAAUGCAAAGAGCCAACUCUGUUACUGUAGAUGGACAAGGCCUGCAGAUCACUCCUGUGCCUGGUACUCACCCACUUUUAGUUUUUGUGAACCCCAAAAGUGGUGGAAAACAAGGAGAACGAAUUUACAGAAAAUUCCAGUAUCUACUAAAUCCUCGUCAGGUUUACAGUCUUUCUGGAAAUGGACCAAUGCCAGGGUUAAACUUUUUCCGUGAUGUUCCUGACUUCAGAGUGUUAGCCUGUGGUGGAGAUGGAACCGUGGGCUGGGUUUUGGAUUGCAUAGAAAAGGCCAAUGUAGGCAAGCAUCCUCCAGUUGCAAUUCUGCCUCUUGGGACUGGCAAUGAUCUAGCAAGAUGCCUGCGAUGGGGAGGAGGUUAUGAAGGUGAGAAUCUGAUGAAAAUUCUAAAAGACAUUGAAAACAGCACAGAAAUCAUGUUGGACAGGUGGAAGUUUGAAGUCAUACCUAAUGACAAAGAUGAGAAGGGAGACCCAGUGCCUUACAGUAUCAUCAAUAAUUACUUUUCCAUUGGCGUGGAUGCCUCCAUUGCACACAGAUUCCACAUCAUGAGAGAAAAACACCCAGAGAAAUUCAACAGUAGAAUGAAGAACAAAUUUUGGUAUUUUGAGUUUGGCACAUCUGAAACUUUCUCAGCCACCUGCAAGAAGCUACAUGAAUCUGUAGAAAUAGAAUGUGAUGGAGUACAGAUAGAUUUAAUAAACAUCUCUCUGGAAGGAAUUGCUAUUUUGAAUAUACCAAGCAUGCAUGGAGGAUCCAAUCUUUGGGGAGAGUCUAAGAAAAGACGAAGCCAUCGACGAAUAGAGAAAAAAGGGUCUGACAAAAGGACCACCGUCACAGAUGCCAAAGAGUUGAAGUUUGCAAGUCAAGGAGUGGAGCUCUGUGCAGCUGAAGACUGCAUAUGACCUCCUGAAUACAGGAUAAAAAAGCCUUUGGAAGGAGACAAGAUCAUUACUCCAGAGAAUAGCCUUGUGCAGUUGCUGUCCUACUGAAGUAGAGAAAGGGCAUCCAAAUGUUUUGAUCUUGUUUUUAUAGUUGCAAGCAGUGUCUGUAUCUUUCCAAAUACCCAAUUUUGUCGUAUAUAUCUCUCUAUGAAAAGGAAUUUCAAUGCUACUUAAUUUUGGUUUAGGGGGAGAUGGAACUGACUUUAAUUAUUCGUUUGAAGCAAAUAAAUGUUUAAACGUGAGAUACAAUUUAAAAAUUGAUGAAUGGUGAUGGUUUUUUAAAUUUGUUUGACUUUUUUUCCUAUCAGUAGUAAUAGUUACUCAGGCUUAUACUCAUGUCCUCAAUAUAUAAGGACUGCUUGUUUCCCACUCAGCGUCUAGUUAUAAUUGUAUUCUGUUUGAG
RNAcentral lists this small RNA (3172 nucleotides) under Pongo abelii (Sumatran orangutan). RNAcentral's name for it is "processed transcript". The record is from RNAcentral. Lineage: Eukaryota; Metazoa; Chordata; Mammalia; Primates; Hominidae.